UUAAGCGACUAAGCGUACACGGUGGAUGCCCUGGCAGUCAGAGGCGAUGAAGGACGUGCUAAUCUGCGAUAAGCGUCGGUAAGGUGAUAUGAACCGUUAUAACCGGCGAUUUCCGAAUGGGGAAACCCAGUGUGAUUCGUCACACUAUCAUUAACUGAAUCCAUAGGUUAAUGAGGCGAACCGGGGGAACUGAAACAUCUAAGUACCCCGAGGAAAAGAAAUCAACCGAGAUUCCCCCAGUAGCGGCGAGCGAACGGGGAGGAGCCCAGAGCCUGAAUCAGUGUGUGUGUUAGUGGAAGCGUCUGGAAAGGCGCGCGAUACAGGGUGACAGCCCCGUACACAAAAAUGCACAUACUGUGAGCUCGAUGAGUAGGGCGGGACACGUGGUAUCCUGUCUGAAUAUGGGGGGACCAUCCUCCAAGGCUAAAUACUCCUGACUGACCGAUAGUGAACCAGUACCGUGAGGGAAAGGCGAAAAGAACCCCGGCGAGGGGAGUGAAAAAGAACCUGAAACCGUGUACGUACAAGCAGUGGGAGCNGUGACUGCGUACCUUUUGUAUAAUGGGUCAGCGACUUAUAUUCUGUAGCAAGGUUAACCGAAUAGGGGAGCCGAAGGGAAACCGAGUCUUAACUGGGCGUUAAGUUGCAGGGUAUAGACCCGAAACCCGGUGAUCUAGCCAUGGGCAGGUUGAAGGUUGGGUAACACUAACUGGAGGACCGAACCGACUAAUGUUGAAAAAUUAGCGGAUGACUUGUGGCUGGGGGUGAAAGGCCAAUCAAACCGGGAGAUAGCUGGUUCUCCCCGAAAGCUAUUUAGGUAGCGCCUCGUGAAUUCAUCUCCGGGGGUAGAGCACUGUUUCGGCAAGGGGGUCAUCCCGACUUACCAACCCGAUGCAAACUGCGAAUACCGGAGAAUGUUAUCACGGGAGACACACGGCGGGUGCUAACGUCCGUCGUGAAGAGGGAAACAACCCAGACCGCCAGCUAAGGUCCCAAAGUCAUGGUUAAGUGGGAAACGAUGUGGGAAGGCCCAGACAGCCAGGAUGUUGGCUUAGAAGCAGCCAUCAUUUAAAGAAAGCGUAAUAGCUCACUGGUCGAGUCGGCCUGCGCGGAAGAUGUAACGGGGCUAAACCAUGCACCGAAGCUGCGGCAGCGACACUAUGUGUUGUUGGGUAGGGGAGCGUUCUGUAAGCCUGCGAAGGUGUACUGUGAGGUAUGCUGGAGGUAUCAGAAGUGCGAAUGCUGACAUAAGUAACGAUAAAGCGGGUGAAAAGCCCGCUCGCCGGAAGACCAAGGGUUCCUGUCCAACGUUAAUCGGGGCAGGGUGAGUCGACCCCUAAGGCGAGGCCGAAAGGCGUAGUCGAUGGGAAACAGGUUAAUAUUCCUGUACUUGGUGUUAUUGCGAAGGGGGGACGGAGAAGGCUAUGUUGGCCGGGCGACGGUUGUCCCGGUUUAAGCGUGUAGGCUGGUUUUCCAGGCAAAUCCGGAAAAUCAAGGCUGAGGCGUGAUGACGAGGCACUACGGUGCUGAAGCAACAAAUGCCCUGCUUCCAGGAAAAGCCUCUAAGCAUCAGGUAACAUCAAAUCGUACCCCAAACCGACACAGGUGGUCAGGUAGAGAAUACCAAGGCGCUUGAGAGAACUCGGGUGAAGGAACUAGGCAAAAUGGUGCCGUAACUUCGGGAGAAGGCACGCUGAUAUGUAGGUGAAGUCCCUCGCGGAUGGAGCUGAAAUCAGUCGAAGAUACCAGCUGGCUGCAACUGUUUAUUAAAAACACAGCACUGUGCAAACACGAAAGUGGACGUAUACGGUGUGACGCCUGCCCGGUGCCGGAAGGUUAAUUGAUGGGGUCAGCGGUAACGCGAAGCUCUUGAUCGAAGCCCCGGUAAACGGCGGCCGUAACUAUAACGGUCCUAAGGUAGCGAAAUUCCUUGUCGGGUAAGUUCCGACCUGCACGAAUGGCGUAAUGAUGGCCAGGCUGUCUCCACCCGAGACUCAGUGAAAUUGAACUCGCUGUGAAGAUGCAGUGUACCCGCGGCAAGACGGAAAGACCCCGUGAACCUUUACUAUAGCUUGACACUGAACAUUGAGCCUUGAUGUGUAGGAUAGGUGGGAGGCUUUGAAGUGUGGACGCCAGUCUGCAUGGAGCCGACCUUGAAAUACCACCCUUUAAUGUUUGAUGUUCUAACGUUGGCCCCUGAUCGGGGUUGCGGACAGUGUCUGGUGGGUAGUUUGACUGGGGCGGUCUCCUCCUAAAGAGUAACGGAGGAGCACGAAGGUUGGCUAAUCCUGGUCGGACAUCAGGAGGUUAGUGCAAUGGCAUAAGCCAGCUUGACUGCGAGCGUGACGGCGCGAGCAGGUGCGAAAGCAGGUCAUAGUGAUCCGGUGGUUCUGAAUGGAAGGGCCAUCGCUCAACGGAUAAAAGGUACUCCGGGGAUAACAGGCUGAUACCGCCCAAGAGUUCAUAUCGACGGCGGUGUUUGGCACCUCGAUGUCGGCUCAUCACAUCCUGGGGCUGAAGUAGGUCCCAAGGGUAUGGCUGUUCGCCAUUUAAAGUGGUACGCGAGCUGGGUUUAGAACGUCGUGAGACAGUUCGGUCCCUAUCUGCCGUGGGCGCUGGAGAACUGAGGGGGGCUGCUCCUAGUACGAGAGGACCGGAGUGGACGCAUCACUGGUGUUCGGGUUGUCAUGCCAAUGGCACUGCCCGGUAGCUAAAUGCGGAAGAGAUAAGUGCUGAAAGCAUCUAAGCACGAAACUUGCCCCGAGAUGAGUUCUCCCUGACUCCUUGAGAGUCCUGAAGGAACGUUGAAGACGACGACGUUGAUAGGCCGGGUGUGUAAGCGCAGCGAUGCGUUGAGCUAACCGGUACUAAUGAACCGUGAGGCUUAACCUU
Molecule: ribosomal RNA, 2892 nt
Filed under: Escherichia coli
Lineage: Bacteria; Pseudomonadati; Pseudomonadota; Gammaproteobacteria; Enterobacterales; Enterobacteriaceae
Description: bacterial LSU rRNA
Rfam family: Bacterial large subunit ribosomal RNA
Source: RNAcentral